UUCGGUCACACCACAUAAAACACCGGUUCCCGUAUGAUCUCUGAAGUUAAGCAGCACCGAGUUUGGCCAGUACCUAGAUGGGUGACCGUUUGGAGUACCAGAU
This is a non-coding RNA of Acanthosepion pharaonis, 103 nucleotides long. NCBI's taxonomy places the organism in Eukaryota, Metazoa, Mollusca, Cephalopoda, Sepiida, Sepiidae. The record is from the annotation of a GenBank genome assembly.